Molecule: RNA transcript, 4804 nt
Organism: Boleophthalmus pectinirostris (great blue-spotted mudskipper)
Lineage: Eukaryota; Metazoa; Chordata; Actinopteri; Gobiiformes; Gobiidae
Gene name: bifunctional heparan sulfate N-deacetylase/N-sulfotransferase 1-like
Exons: 16
Source: RefSeq, a predicted model, not a curated record
AGGGGCAUUCUCAGAUUUCCCGAUUGCUUCCCAGCCGAGUGAGCUGUGCCGCUGCUUUCACAUCACGGCCGACAGAAAAGCAAGACAACGACGACGUGUGGCCAGCGCGCCCCAAUCCCGCAUUCUCCGGUGUCGGUUUGUGCGUCUCCACUUUCGCGUUGCCUGUAGCGAGGUCAGAAGAUAGUCCUGUGGGGAUGGUGGUGCUGCAAUGACCUGCGUGGCCUCUCUUUCCUCCAGAGAUCAUCCUCCAAUCAAGACCGUGGGGCCAGCUCCAGUCAGGACAUGGUCGGCAGGUUCACAUGACGGACAGGUGAUGGAGUCCUCCAUCAUCGCUUUGCUCUGACGUGUCCCAGCACUGCCUCCGAGGCAUCAGCCUGUGCGGUGCGAAGAGGCCCCUCGACUCUUUGCCAUGGUGACAUAAGCAGUGCUGCAGUAUGAGGGAGAGCCAUUGUGAGACCGUGUCCUUUCUUUCUCCAGUCGCUGUUGCGGCUGCUUCUUUUGCAUGUUUCGUGUUUUUCUCCUUAUUGAGACUUUGAGACUGAAACAUUUGUAAAUAGUCCCUGUAGACCUUUGUAAGCACGCCCCACGGCGUGUAGCCUGGCAGGCGGGGCAGAGAGGCCCAAGAGACGAUGCUGGGAUGCGUGACCCGUGUCCGUCGGCUGGUGCGUCUCCUCCCCCUGCAGACCUCCCUGCUCCUACUCUUCCUCUUCUGUACCAUCAGCGUCUUCAUCUCGGCCUACUUCCUGUAUGGCGUCAAGCGGGAGCUGGAGCCUUCAGGAGGGGGCGUGUCCGGGUCAGAGGGAGCGUCGGCCGACUCGGACGACCUCAGGGUCACCCCUUCAAGGCUAUUACCUUUGCGUGGAGUCCCGGGGGGUCCUGGAGGAGACCCUGCAGGAGCAAGGACAGAUCCUGUGGUUUUGGUGUUUGUGGAGAGUCAGUAUUCUCAAUUGGGUCAAGAAAUUGUGGCCAUUUUGGAAUCAGGCCGUUUCCGCUAUAGGACAGAGAUAUCCCCUGGUAAAGGGGACAUGCCCACACUUACGGACAAAGAGAGAGGGCGAUUCACACUGGUAAUUUAUGAGAACAUUCUGAAGUACGUGAACCUAGACGCAUGGAACAGGGAGCUGCUGGACAAAUACUGUGUGGAGUACGGUGUGGGCAUCAUUGGCUUCUUCAAGGCCAAUGAAAACAGUCUGCUCAGUGCCCAGCUCAAAGGCUUCCCACUCUUCCUUCACUCCAACUUGGGCCUGAAAGACUGCACCGUGAACCCCAAGUCUCCGCUCCUCUUCAUCACUCGGUCAGGGCAGCCCUUGCCAGGACCUCUUCCCGGGGACGAUUGGACAGUGUUCCAGUCCAACCACUCAACAUACGAGCCUGUGCUGCUGGCAAAAACUCAGUCUGCCGACAGUGUGGCCUCCAUUGGGCAAAACGCAGCCCUGCUCCCCUCUGUGGUGCAGGACCUGGGCCUCCAUGAUGGCAUCCAAAGGGUUUUGUUUGGCAACAACCUGGUGUUUUGGCUGCACAAGCUGGUGUUUGUGGACGCUGUGGCCUUUCUGACGGGGAAGAGACUGUCUCUGUCCCUGGACCGAUACCUUCUGGUCGAUAUAGAUGAUAUCUUUGUUGGGAAGGAGGGCACCCGCAUGAAGGUGCCAGAUGUGAAGGCCUUGUUAGAGACACAGAAGGAGCUACGCACCCAUGUCCCCAACUUCACGUUCAAUCUGGGCUUCUCAGGGAAGUUCUUCCACGCUGGCUCUGAUGAGGAGGACCUUGGAGACGACCUGCUGCUGUCCUAUGUGAAGGAGUUCUGGUGGUUUCCUCACAUGUGGAGCCACAUGCAGCCACAUCUCUUCCACAAUCAGUCGGUUCUGGCCGAACAGAUGCUGCUCAAUAAGAAAUUUGCCAUGGAGCAUGGGAUCCCUACAAACAUGGGUUACGCUGUGGCCCCCCAUCACUCGGGUGUGUACCCUGUGCACAUGCAGCUGUAUGAUGCUUGGAAGAAGGUCUGGGGCAUUAAAGUGACCAGCACCGAAGAAUACCCCCACCUCAAACCUGCUCGCUUCAGACGUGGCUUCAUCCACAGUGGCAUCAGUGUGCUUCCCAGACAGACAUGUGGUCUUUUCACACACACCAUUUUCUAUAAAGACUACCCCGGCAGCCCAAAUGAACUGGACAAACUCAUCAACGGAGGGGAGCUCUUCCAGACCGUUCUGCUCAACCCUAUAAGUAUAUUUAUGACCCAUUUAUCAAACUAUGGCAAUGACCGCCUUGGCCUUUACACCUUUAAAAGCCUGGUGAUGUUUGUGAAGACAUGGACCAAUCUGAAGAUGCAAACUCUUCCACCCAUUCAGCUGGCUCAGAAGUAUUUCAGCCUGUUCCCAUCAGAGAGAGACCCCCUCUGGCAGGAUCCUUGUGAGGACAAAAGGCACAAGGACAUCUGGUCCAAAGAGAAAACAUGUGACCGCUUUCCCAAACUGCUUGUCAUCGGGCCUCAGAAGACAGGAACAACAGCACUGUACCUGUUUCUUGGCAUGCAUCCCGACCUGACUAGUAACUACCCCAGCAAAGAGACAUUUGAGGAGAUCCAAUUCUUCAAUGGCCAUAACUACCACAGGGGGAUUGACUGGUAUAUGGAGUACUUCCCCCUCCCUUCCAACACCAGCUCCGACUACUAUUUUGAGAAGAGUGCCAACUACUUUGACUCUGAAGUGGCUGCUCAGAGGGCUGCAGCGCUCCUGCCCAAAGCCAAGAUAAUCACGAUCCUCAUCAACCCAGCCGACAGAGCGUACUCCUGGUAUCAGCACCAAAGAGCACAUGACGACCCAGUUGCACUGAAAUACUCCUUCCAUGAAGUCAUCACCGCGGGACACGAAGCUCCCAUCCGACUGAGGGUCCUUCAGAACCGCUGCCUGGUCCCAGGGUGGUAUGCUGUGCACAUGGAGCGCUGGCUCAACUAUUAUCACUCCAGUCAGCUGCUGGUCUUAGAUGGGCAGAUGCUAAAAACUGAACCAGCCUCUAUCAUGGACAAAAUCCAAAAGUUUCUGGGUCUGGCCAAUAUCAUCAAUUACCAUAAAAUCUUAGCGUUUGAUCCCAAGAAAGGUUUUUGGUGUCAGCUGCUCGAAGGAGGGAAGACCAAGUGUCUGGGGAAGAGCAAAGGCCGGAGGUACCCUGACAUGGGCCCCGAGUCCCAGGCAUUCCUCAGGGAGUAUUAUCGGGAUCACAACAUUGAACUUUCAAAGCUCCUGUAUAGAAUGGGUCAACCUCUGCCCAGUUGGCUCAGAGAAGAAUUGGUCCACACGAGGUAGCAUCAAGGCAGCGGAGAUCUCAACUCCACAAAUAAAACCACUACUUAUCCCUAUCAGAAGGAUGGAGGAACUGAAAAUUUACUUCAUGCGAUCUAUCAAAGACAAGAUGUGAUCAUGAAGAGGGUUAAGGAUCUUGGAUGUACUGGCCUCCUUUCUGUCCUUUGGAAGAAUGGACCUUGAUUUAUUUGGGAAAACGCAUCCAAUAAUCUUUGCUUCCUUACAACAUGGAGUAUAGAAACAUGACAGAGAUGGACUCAGCCUCAUACCAAGCUAAAUAUGAGUUGCAGUGUUGGAGCAAAUAAAGAACUUCACCUUGACUGCAUGGAAAAGUGACAUUGUUCGAAAACGCCUUGAGAAAUAUUUGUACGCAAGAACCGGAGUUUCAAAUCUCGAGGCUGCGGGGUUGUAGCCUUACAUGAUAGGCCUUGGUACAAUCUAGUUAUCACAUUUACAAGUGCCAGGACAGAAUCUUCAUCAUAAUAUGGACUCCUAUUAUGAGGGUUCUUAUUUUUUUAUUUGUAUGUUUUUGUUCUCUUUCGCCCUGAGAUUGUUUUAACAAUUAUUUAAUACUGUCUGUAAUGGAUUAUUGUAGAAUGUACCAAUUUAAACAUUGUAGCUCAGUUACAGGUUACUUUAGGAUUUUUAUUUUAUUAUAUUCAGCUGCUCGGCCUCAUCUUAAGUCAGUUUCAUGACCACUUCAUUGGCCAAAGCAGGGACAGUUGGAUAGAUGACGUAAGCACAAUAUAUAAGGAAGUCAGACGGUGAUAAUAUUAAAAUAAUGUACAAUACAACGUUUACAGGGAAGCACACAAACACUACAACAAUCUGUGAAGAAUAGUAUAAGCUAACUACUGUAUUAAUUCUGCACUCUGGUCCGAAACAUUCACAUAGUGUACAUUUCAAUUUUGUUGAAAUUUGAGAUACUUUUUUCGCCAUUUCUUUAUUUUGGAGUGUGUUAUAAAGUUGCCAGGAAGACCAAGUAUACUGAGAACAUUUGGUUGCCAUUGAAGACUUUACCACUGCAAGUAGAUGUCAAGAUUAGACGAUAAAAGCUGCUCUUAAUUGCAAUAGUUUUGUACAAUGUUGAGACAAAAAUGCACAUGUUGGUCCAUUCAUUUCCUGACUUUGUAAUGUACAUAAAAGCGACUCUUAGACCUAAAUUAUUGAAUGUUUUUGGGUUUGCUCUGUCCAUCUGCUCAUUCCCGUAGUGUGAAAUGUCCGUGCUGUACAAAGGAACAAUUGGGAGUGUUGUACAGGGAAGUUUCGCUAAGAUUGUCUUUUAUGUCUUCUCACUGCCAACUACUGUACAGACUAAGGUACUAGUCUUUCCAUUUAAAGUAUUAUGUGAUAACUCAUAACGGCAUCGAUGGUACUAAUCUCCUGGACUGUAUGAGGUGGGACCAAGUCAUUGUUUUGCAAGUCUCAAGUAAGUCUCAAGUUUUUGACCUCAAGUCCAAGUCAAGUCUCAAGUCAAAUACAGGCAAGUCCAGGUCGAGUUUUGAGUC